UAAAAUGUGCAAAUAUGCGAACUGCAACUGCCUAAAAACCCACUAAAAUAUCUAAUGAAUUGAAAUUUACGGACGAAGAGCGACAUAAAAAUACAAUCUAAGCCCACGGGCGACUACAACUACAACUGCUAGAAACUUCUUUUCGAGGAAAAAUCAUUGAAAAUAUUCCCCCAAACGAGAGAGCCUGAGCAGAGAGCGGCCGGCGACGGCUACAAAGCGACAACUGAGCGCACGGCGAAUUCGAAGUCAACUCGCUGUAUUUAUUUAGCAUGGAGACGUCGACGUCGGCAGCGAAGCGAAGUUCGUUGAAAUUUUGAAUGUGUGACAACGCGGUUCAGUCUGCCGCCAGCGCGGCCCGAAGCAGUGCAUGUUAACCCAACUGAGCGUUAGCAGGCGAAUUUGAAUGCCAAAGGACAAAGGAUGAAGAUUUACCGCUAGGGCAGCAAAAGGCAGACACAGUGGGGCAGAAAUUGCACUUUUCAAUGAAAAAGUAUUCCUUUGCCCACUGUGAACCGUAGAUAUCGUGCAGGCUUCUUAGGAAAUAUACAUCACAAUAUAUAUUUGAAUGCUUGCAAAAACACCUUGCCUAUGAUUUACUUCACAGCUUUGUCCAUCGAAAGUAACUAGGAGAAAAAGAAGCAGCCCCGCGUGACGUCAGCCCGCCCACAAAACACACUCGAAAGUAUUGAAAAAUGCAGACAUUUUUUGUUUGGUUUUUAGCAACUCUCUAUUUUUUUUGGUUAUUGUUUAUUGGUUUUUUUAACGCACCGCUGAAAUGUUAAUAACAGCCCUCGUUACUGUUAAGUGGUCACACUCUCUCUCAAUUUUUCUUUGUGGUUUCAAUGAAAGUGAGCUACAAAGCUGCAAAUCGAAAUUCGUAAUGAUUUGAUUUGAUUGGAAUUUUAAAAAUUUUGAGUCUCAAUGAAGCGAAAGAAAAACAAUGAGUUAAAUAAUAAAUGGAGGAUGAAAUUUA
This is a non-coding RNA of Drosophila suzukii, 973 nucleotides long. NCBI's taxonomy places the organism in Eukaryota, Metazoa, Arthropoda, Insecta, Diptera, Drosophilidae. The record is from RefSeq and is a predicted model, not a curated record.